CCCUUCUGCAUUAACAGAAGUCUGCUAUAAUUGUGUGAUUCAGAUUGAUCUGUUUCACGUAAUAAUGCUAGCCGAGUAUUUAUGUGGAAGGAGAUGACUGUGCAUUGCACUGAAAAUGAGCCGUGGUCGAACCGCUUUCUUAAUGUUCAUUGGCCUCUGUCUCAAGGUGCUGUGCCACAUGC
Small nucleolar RNA from Notolabrus celidotus (New Zealand spotty), 182 nucleotides. RefSeq annotates it as small nucleolar RNA SNORA81. Lineage: Eukaryota; Metazoa; Chordata; Actinopteri; Labriformes; Labridae. The transcript has a single exon. The record is from RefSeq and is a predicted model, not a curated record.